Molecule: long non-coding RNA, 235 nt
Filed under: Helianthus annuus (common sunflower)
Lineage: Eukaryota; Viridiplantae; Streptophyta; Magnoliopsida; Asterales; Asteraceae
Description: sRNA HanXRQr2_Chr09g0394151
Source: RNAcentral
GUCUUUACAAAUAAAAAAAACUACCUAAAGUUGUUGACGACGAGUUUUCAUCUUUUGAAAACGUUGCAUUACACUCUCAACGGAAACUUGUUGUAAGAACUCCUUUUCAAUGUAACAAAUGCAAGAAUCGUUCAUAUCAUCCAAAACGAUUUUCAAGGGUUUACUAGUUGAAGAUGACGAUUCAAUGUUAGGUGGUGGUUGCCUUUGAAAAAAACUUGAAAUAUUCUUCUACAUA